GACGAACGCUGGCGGCGUGCUUAACACAUGCAAGUCGAACGGAAAGGUCCGGCUUUUGUGGGGUGGUCGAGUUGAGAAGGGGUGAGUAACACGUGAGUAAGGUGUCCUUGACUGAGGGAGAACUUAAGGAAAGUGGGGGUCAUAGCGGAUAAGAGCUCUUGCUGCAGGGUGGGGGUUGGUAGGUUUCGGCGGUUGGGGAUGGACUGGCGGAUUAUCGGCUUGUUGCAGGGGUAGUGGCGUACCAAGGCUUUGACGGGUAGCCGGGCUGAGAGGGUGACCUGCCCCAUUACGACUGAGCUGAGGCCCAGCCCACUACGGGACGCAACAGUGGAGAAUAUUGCAUAAUAGGCUGAAGCCUGAUGCAGUAACGCCGCGUCCGGGAUGACGUCAUUCGCGUUGUAAACCACUGUCGCCUUUCACGAAGCGUGAGUGACGGUAACGGGUAAAGAAGCACCGGCUAACUACGUG
This 468-nucleotide ribosomal RNA is filed under the name uncultured bacterium. Its description in RNAcentral is "partial 16S ribosomal RNA". It matches the Rfam family "Bacterial small subunit ribosomal RNA", at positions 28 to 507 of the family's 1533-position model. The record is from RNAcentral.